Molecule: long non-coding RNA, 1457 nt
Organism: Homo sapiens (human)
Lineage: Eukaryota; Metazoa; Chordata; Mammalia; Primates; Hominidae
Gene: MIR99AHG
Product: mir-99a-let-7c cluster host gene
Source: Ensembl
GCAGCACAUAGCACUGGCUGGUUAUAAAGGACUUGUCUAGGGGAGAGCCUAUGGAUCUGAGAACGCUGUCUGGGCUUGGUACCAAGAGCUGGUAUUUCACAGCAGCGACCGCCUCACAGACGAGCUGUGGGAAGCAGGAGGGAGACUCUCUCUUAGGGUGCCACUACUAUGGAGACACAGCUGGGCUGAACAAGAUUUGCUUCAAACGACAACAAGAGAGACAGAAAGUAUCUGGUUCAACCGCUGCCCGAGCAGGCAGGCACCAGAAGAGCUAGCAGCCAAUCCGGCCAUGCUCGAAGCCAGCUCUGCAGCUCAGCCAAUCAGUGACAUCAUUGCUUUCUUUAGCUUGCCCAUGGUGAUGUGAAGAUGAGAAGAAAUAGCAAGGCCCAACCAGUUCUUCAUCUGGAGACAGUUCAACGUUCUGCAAACCAGAUCUUCAGGAAUUUUACUGGGAUAAUUAUCCAAAUAAAUUGCAAGCAUUCUAUCCAAAUGGUAAGCAGAACAUCUUAUUAUGUAAUCAUAUUUGUUUAUCCAUAAUUAAUAUAACUUUCUGAGUAUUGAAAUGAGAAACUUGAUUUACUCUUCUUCACUCAUGUUUUAAUUUUUUUAUAAGAAAAACUAGAAUCACUAAAGAAUUUCUUUUUAUUUUAUUUAAAAAUUAUAAUCCUGAGAUGCAAAUAUAUGCCAUGUAAGCCUGGGAACUAUUUAAUCACUUUACUCUAAAAUCUGGUAAAAGGUAAAAUUUCUGAAAAUAGGUGACUGGCAAACAUUUUGUAAACAAUAUAUAAGAAGAAUUGUAUAUCAAAAUAUACACAUAAAACUAUCUUUUCAGAUAAUUAUGUAUCAUUUAUUUUCUUAUAGCGAAAUUAUAAAAAUACAACCUAUAGCCUUCCAUAGAUACAUAAUUAACUAUGUUUUGAAAUGAUAUCCAAUUCAGUACCCUCAUACAUUUGAAACUUUGAUAAGCUGGUCUAUCUUCACUUUGGGGAUCUUCUUCAUUAAGAGUUUGUUUUCUCAAGUUUUGAGGUAGGAUACAUGAAGUCAUUCUUCUUCUUUAUAAUUAUGUGGCAGGAACUAUCUCCCUGAAAACUUUAUGCUUAAGUUUUUGACAAUCACACUGUCAGUCAGAUGGUGCAAAGUCUUUUAAUACUUUUUAAUAUAAGAGAGUUGUCUAAAAUACAGAUAGUUCUCCAUCUGAGCUCAUGACCCAAGCAAUGUGCUUCAAAAUUGCAUUUAUUGUAUUUUUCUUAUUACAAAUGAUACUAUGUUCAUAAUGGAUAGAUAAAUUAGAUACACAUAAAUACAAUUAAAAAGCAUAUUCUCACCACCUAAUGUAACCUGUUAACCUUUUGUAUAAAUUGGUGAAUGGUUUCAGUAUAUGAACACACAACCUACUGUAAAAAUUCAAGAAAUGAGUGUGAUGAUGAUGUAAAAUGCAGGUUCACCUUCUCUGUCCC